GGUAGGAGAGCGUUCUAAGGGCGUUGAAGCAUGAUCGCAAGGACAUGUGGAGCGCUUAGAAGUGAGAAUGCCGGUGUGAGUAGCGAAAGACGGGUGAGAAUCCCGUCCACCGAUUGACUAAGGUUUCCAGAGGAAGGCUCGUCCGCUCUGGGUUAGUCGGGUCCUAAGCUGAGGCCGAUAGGCGUAGGCGAUGGAUAACAGGUUGAUAUUCCUGUACCACCAUUAUUCGUUUUAAGCGAUGGGGGGACGCAGUAGGAUAGGCGAAGCGUACGAUUGGAUUGUACGUCCAAGCAGUGAGAUUGAGUGUUAGGCAAAUCCGGCACUCUUAAGAUUGAGCUGUGAUGGGGAGAGGAAAUUGUUUCCUCGAGUCGUUGAUUUCACACUGCCAAGAAAAGCCUCUAGCUAGAAUUGUGGUGCCCGUACCGCAAACCGACACAGGUAGUCAAGAUGAGAAUUCUAAGGUGAGCGAGCGAACUCUCGUUAAGGAACUCGGCAAAAUGACCCCGUAACUUCGGGAGAAGGGGUGCUCUUUAGGGUUAACGCC
RNAcentral lists this ribosomal RNA (544 nucleotides) under Staphylococcus aureus. RNAcentral describes it as "partial 23S ribosomal RNA". It matches the Rfam family "Bacterial large subunit ribosomal RNA", at positions 1227 to 1768 of the family's 2925-position model. The record is from RNAcentral. Lineage: Bacteria; Bacillati; Bacillota; Bacilli; Caryophanales; Staphylococcaceae.